UGGCUCUCCUCUUCCCUAGGGCCCUGGAACUGUCCACCGAGGUCGUCUCACUUCCUCAGGCUCCCUCCUGCUUUCCUCUGGGCAGGAAAAAGAAUCUCUCUUCCUGCAGUGUCAUGGAUUCGGCUAGGAGAAAGUUUAGGUUCUGCAGUGUCUACUCAAGAAGUGUGAGGACCAGCUACCAUGCCCAGGAUAAGUCUGACUUCUGGCAGUUUCACCUUAGAUGGCUGCACAACCCAAUGUUGUGUAUGUGUGUGGCAUAUUUCUUGAAAAGCUUUCUUCGGAUCCUCUGCAUGUGCAUGUCUUGAAGAAGCGUCCAUGAGGAGGAUUUGGCAUAGCGAGCAAACAGCUCAGAGUUGGUGAAUAUAAUGUGAACAUUGUUAACUUCAUUACACAUCAUGUAGGUAUUAUAAUAACAUGUUCUGAAAUUAGAUAAUUAUUACUAUGA
Molecule: long non-coding RNA, 445 nt
Organism: Mastomys coucha (southern multimammate mouse)
Lineage: Eukaryota; Metazoa; Chordata; Mammalia; Rodentia; Muridae
Exons: 2
Source: RefSeq, a predicted model, not a curated record